UCGCAAGACCUCGCGCGAUUGGAGCGGCCGAUAUCAGAUUAGCUAGUUGGUGAGGUAAAGGACUCACCAAGGCGACGAUCUGUAGCUGGUCUGAGAGGACGACCAGCCACACUGGAACUGAGACACGGUCCAGACUCCUACGGGAGGCAGCAGUGGGGAAGUUUUGGUACAAUGGGCGAAAGCCUGAUCCAGCAAUGCCGCGUGCAGGACGAAGGCCUUCGGGUUGUAAACUGCUUUUGUACGGAGCGAAACGGUCUUCUCUAAUACAGGGGGCUAAUGACGGUACCGUAAGAAUAAGCACCGGCUAACUACGUG
Molecule: ribosomal RNA, 315 nt
Filed under: uncultured bacterium
Lineage: Bacteria
Description: bacterial SSU rRNA
Rfam family: Bacterial small subunit ribosomal RNA
Source: RNAcentral